GGCUAGUCUGAUAGUAGUGGGUUAUCAGAACUUAUUAACAUUAGUGUCACUAAAGUUGGUAUUCAACCCCCCACUGCUAAAUUUGACUGGCUUUAA
This 96-nucleotide Y RNA is filed under the name Propithecus coquereli (Coquerel's sifaka). Its description in RNAcentral is "Y RNA (ENSPCOG00000003199.1)". It matches the Rfam family "Y RNA". From Rfam's summary of the family: Y RNAs are components of the Ro ribonucleoprotein particle (Ro RNP), in association with Ro60 and La proteins. The Y RNAs and Ro60 and La proteins are well conserved, but the function of the Ro RNP is not known. In humans the RNA component can be one of four small RNAs -- hY1, hY3, hY4 and hY5. Lineage: Eukaryota; Metazoa; Chordata; Mammalia; Primates; Indriidae. The record is from Rfam by way of RNAcentral.